GUGAGCGGCGGACACGGACGCACGGUGAGCGUGGUGCGCGGCAGACGGGGAGAUCAGACCCGUGCCGUGCCAGCUGCCCUCGCUCGACGUGCCGCUCUCCCUGGUCGCCACUAAAUUGAACAAAAUCGAGAUUUAGAGUUCAGACCACCCAAUCGAGGACAGACGGAGAGGGUACUCAUCCAAAUCAAUGAAAAAUUGAGCAGCAUGCACCUGCGCCGGAGCGCCUGCAGCAACGAGGUGCUCGGGUCGGAGGGGCUCGCCGUGCUGGGGCUCCAGCUCGGGGCUGCUGUGCUGGAGGCGUCGUUCCUGUAGGUCCCUGGUCGUGGUCAUCUCUGGCGCCGAGAGGAUGGCCCAGGCUACUGCAGGUGCUCUGGAUGCCAUGCGGCGGCGAGCACAUCUCACGUGCCCGUGCCAGUUUUU
RNAcentral lists this long non-coding RNA (420 nucleotides) under Setaria viridis. Its description in RNAcentral is "long non-coding RNA (SVIR_LNC003904)". The record is from RNAcentral. Lineage: Eukaryota; Viridiplantae; Streptophyta; Magnoliopsida; Poales; Poaceae.